UACAGAGGUCCCAAGCGUUGUUCGGAUUCAUUGGGCGUAAAGGGUGCGUAGGUGGCGCCGUAAGUCGGGUGUGAAAUUUCGGAGCUUAACUCCGAAACUGCAUUCGAUACUGCGGUGCUUGAGGACUGGAGAGGAGACUGGAAUUUACGGUGUAGCGGUGAAAUGCGUAGAUAUCGUAAGGAAGACCAGUGGCGAAGGCGGGUCUCUGGACAGUUCCUGACGCUGAGGCACGAAGGUCAGGGGAGCAAACGGG
RNAcentral lists this ribosomal RNA (253 nucleotides) under uncultured bacterium. RNAcentral's name for it is "partial 16S ribosomal RNA". It matches the Rfam family "Bacterial small subunit ribosomal RNA", at positions 524 to 776 of the family's 1533-position model. The record is from RNAcentral.